This 101-nucleotide small nuclear RNA is filed under the name Castor canadensis (American beaver). Lineage: Eukaryota; Metazoa; Chordata; Mammalia; Rodentia; Castoridae. The record is from RNAcentral.
UGGCAGCAUGUUCCAAUACUAAACUUGGAAUUAUACAGAGAAAAUUAUUAUGGCCUCUGUGCAAGGAUAUCAUGCAAAUUCAUGAACCAUUCCAUAUAAUU